AAAUAUCUGACCGGGCAUGACACUGGCCAUAGGCUGCUGCCCAGACCCAACGGAAAGACCGCCUAAGCUCUCUCCCACGGACGGGAGAAGGGCGUGAGGAGGCAUUAUCCCCUCCUAAGCAGCCGAGAGCCGCACGUCGCUAGCUCCGCUCUCCUCCCCCUGGGGUGGGAGGCGUCGCACGCGCGCACGCUCUCACAAGUUUUUUUUGUGUGUGCGUGUGCGUGUGUGCAUGCGUGUGCUACAUAGUAGG
Molecule: long non-coding RNA, 250 nt
Filed under: Volvox carteri
Lineage: Eukaryota; Viridiplantae; Chlorophyta; Chlorophyceae; Chlamydomonadales; Volvocaceae
Description: long non-coding RNA (VCAR_LNC003092)
Source: RNAcentral